CUUGCAAAGUUUGCAAAUUUUGUAUACUUUUGUAUUGCAUGCGAAAAUUGCAAUACAAAAGUAUACAAAAUUUGCAAACUUUGGAAGUCUUA
RNAcentral lists this microRNA precursor (92 nucleotides) under Paramuricea clavata. Lineage: Eukaryota; Metazoa; Cnidaria; Anthozoa; Malacalcyonacea; Plexauridae. The record is from RNAcentral.